This 72-nucleotide transfer RNA is filed under the name Caudoviricetes sp. RNAcentral's name for it is "tRNA-Met". It matches the Rfam family "tRNA". Rfam says of the family: Transfer RNA (tRNA) molecules are approximately 80 nucleotides in length. Their secondary structure includes four short double-helical elements and three loops (D, anti-codon, and T loops). Lineage: Duplodnaviria; Heunggongvirae; Uroviricota; Caudoviricetes. The record is from RNAcentral.
AGCAGGAUAGAGAAGCGGAAUCUCACAUGGCUCAUAUCCAUGGAAACGGCGGUUCGAAUCCGUCUCCUGCAA